Camellia sinensis is the source of this 440-nucleotide non-coding RNA. The record is from RefSeq and is a predicted model, not a curated record. NCBI's taxonomy places the organism in Eukaryota, Viridiplantae, Streptophyta, Magnoliopsida, Ericales, Theaceae.
GAUAAAUAUCUAUAUAUUAGAGUAGACCAGCUCACACUUGUCAACACAAACAAGUCGCAUGUGUGUUUGUGUAAGAGAAACCUCGUAGACUAAUUCGAUCACUCUUUAUAUCACGAUCCUCUGAAAAUUCGCAACCCUCAGUCAGCUACUCCUCUCAGAUCUGUGAACUUUGGGGGUUCUGCGAAGUGGAGGUAAAUGCAGACGAGGUACAUGGAGAGGACCAACUCUAUGAGUAGAGGGAAGCGGAAUUUGGAGGGCGACGAUGAUCUGCCCGAUCGGAAGCGCCCAGCUUUAGCUAGGGAUCCCAAUUCCAAAUGUUGGGAGUUCAGCUGCAUUAGAUAUUUGUGAAUUUUGGACUGAAUUUAAAUUUGGAUCCUAAUUCCACCAAGAAGUUACCCAAUAACAGGCAAAUUUUGGAACUUCGUGUUUUGUACUAGUUU